AUCUCAAGGAUACAAAAGUACUAAUUAGAAAAGGUACAUGCACCCCAAUGUUUAUAGUAGCUUUAUUUACAACAGCCAAAUUAUGGAAAAGGCCCAGAUGUGCAUCAACUGAUGAAUGGAUACAGAAGUUGUGGUCUAUCUACAAUGGAAUAUCACUCAGCCAUAUAAAAAAGAAUGAAGUCUUAUCAUUUACAACAAUGUGAAGGGAGCUAGAGAGUAUUAUGCUAAGCGAAGUCAGAGAAAGACAAACACUAUAUGAUUUCACUCAUACAUGGAAUUAAAGAAACAAAACAAAUGAGCAAAGGGGGAAAAGGAAACAGAGACAAACCAAGAAAAAGACUCUUAACUGUAGAGAACAAACUGAUGGUUACCAAAGGGGAGGUGGGGGGGCUGUUAUGUAGGUGAUGGGAAUUAAGGCGUGCACUUGCUGUGAUGAGCACCAGGAGCAUGGGAGCGCUGAAUCACUGUACUGCACACUUGAAACUAAUAUUACACUGUAUUUUAACUAAUUGGAAUUUAAAUUAAAACUUUAAAAAGAUAAAUUAAAUAAAGGAAUGUGUAUACACUGGCCAGGUCAGGCCUGGCUCAUGGGAAGGACACAGCAUUUUUUUUUUUUUUUCUCUGAGCUGUCCCCUACUCUUAAGCAAAUCAUACUCUUAGAUAUAAAAGUGAUACUCUUGAUAGUUGAUGCUGCCUGAUCCAACUCUGCAUUAUUACCCAGUCACUCUAUUUUCAACUCUUGUCCAUUUUCCUCACACUUAAUUUUUCUGCUUUGUUGUUUGUCUUUGCUUUCAUAUGGAAAUAGAGCUUCGUUAUUGCAGGGCUAGUUUCCGCAGAGGUCCUUGCUGUACCAACUGCAUUACGGCAAAUGAAAUAGAUACUCCCUACCUUCCUUUCAUUUUGUUCCUUAAGAGAAAACUCAAGUUAAAAAGAUUGCUUGAGGAGAUCCCCUGUCUCUCAGAUUGCUGAUGGGCAGGGUGGGAUAUUGGCUCUGAGACAAAUGAGCUGUCGCCAGCUCUUUGAGACACCACUGUCUAGGGCUUCUGAAUAUAUCCUUCAUUUGUAACAAACAGGCUAAUCACUCGUUGCAAAUCAAAGAGGUUGUGAAUAGUUGGAGAGUUAGCAUUUAACAGUUGUGAGUUUUAAAAUAGAUCAAAUUCUUUCAUUCCCUCUUCUAGUAUUUCAUGGUAGAGAACAGGCACAGAGAAACAUGGGGGCGGGGGGAAUGAACUGGUUCAUUCUUUAUUCAUUUAACACUGAGCUCACAUAAUGUAGCAGCCACCCAGUGUCUUCCUCCCUUCCAUCCAUGUGGAAAAGUUGGGACAAAAUGGUUGAUGACAAAUGUCUAAUUCCCAGGAGGGUUGAGUCAGGAAGUGUUCAAAGUGCCUCUGGUGUGCUGUGACUGCCCUGUCCAUUGAGCAAAGGGAAAGAACUCCUCUAGCUGGUUCACAAAAGGGCCAUGCCUUUAUGAAAAAAAAAA
Molecule: long non-coding RNA, 1480 nt
Filed under: Canis lupus familiaris (dog)
Lineage: Eukaryota; Metazoa; Chordata; Mammalia; Carnivora; Canidae
Description: lncRNA (ENSCAFG00000054870.1)
Source: RNAcentral